GUCCCCGUAGCUCAAAUGGAUAGAGCAGGCGUUUCCUAAACGUCUGAUCCCAGUUCAAUUCUGGGCGGGGGCACCA
RNAcentral lists this transfer RNA (76 nucleotides) under Verrucomicrobiota bacterium. RNAcentral's name for it is "Verrucomicrobia bacterium (freshwater metagenome) tRNA-Arg". It matches the Rfam family "tRNA". Rfam says of the family: Transfer RNA (tRNA) molecules are approximately 80 nucleotides in length. Their secondary structure includes four short double-helical elements and three loops (D, anti-codon, and T loops). The record is from RNAcentral. Lineage: Bacteria; Pseudomonadati; Verrucomicrobiota.